CAGAGCCACGGUAAUGCGUAGGGUGCAAGCGUUAAUCGGAAUUACUGGGCGUAAAGCGUGCGCAGGCGGUUUGUUAAGACAGAUGUGAAAUCCCCGGGCUCAACCUGGGAACUGCAUUUGUGACUGGCAAGCUAGAGUGUGGCAGAGGGGGGUGGAAUUCCGCGUGUAGCAGUGAAAUGCGUAGAUAUGCGGAGGUACACCGAUGGCGAAGGCAGCCCCCUGGGCCAACACUGACGCUCAUGCACGAAAGCGUGGGGAGCAAACAGGAUUAGAUACCCGCGUAGUCCCUGUCUCUUAUACC
RNAcentral lists this ribosomal RNA (301 nucleotides) under uncultured bacterium. RNAcentral describes it as "partial 16S ribosomal RNA". It matches the Rfam family "Bacterial small subunit ribosomal RNA", at positions 509 to 808 of the family's 1533-position model. The record is from RNAcentral.